RNAcentral lists this unclassified non-coding RNA (607 nucleotides) under Hevea brasiliensis (rubber tree). The record is from RNAcentral. Lineage: Eukaryota; Viridiplantae; Streptophyta; Magnoliopsida; Malpighiales; Euphorbiaceae.
GCUGGAUUCUCCUUGCGUCCUCGAAAGUGGACAUCAAACCAUCCACCAAACCCACAGAAUCGUGUAUUUUCUGCAGUAAUGAUUGAUGAGAUAUUUGCCUGAAGACUGAGUAAAUCAUUCACACUUGAUGUUAAACAGUCAAUCUCCUUUAUGACAGCAGGUUUUCCAAUUACUUGAUUUGGAUGAAGGUUGUUCCACAAUGAUGUCUGAAGAUAGUAUUUUCUUUGCUCUUCAGAGAAUGGUUUCGUUAAAACAGACAUGUCAACUCCAUAAUCCAUUUUGGUAUCGGCAACAAAGUUAUACCAAUCAUCCAUAGCUCCUUCAUAAUCAUUCAUUUUCUGAUCUCCCAAUUUAGACCUAAUUGGCGCCACCCACAUGCGUGCAUGACUAGGAUACAUCACCCCGGAUGGCUUCAACCAGUGGUCACGUGCAUAAAUCACAGAGUCAAACAUAGAUUCCCGCAAUAGAAAAUAUCCCAUCCACUCAGAGAUAAUGACAUCAACUUUCUCUGGAAGGACAACAUCCUCCAUAGAUCCCUCAAUUACAUCAAUUACGUCCUGAAGGUUGUUAGCUUUAACGAGUGCACGGGCAUGUUCCGACAUCUUAG